UUUAUGUUGUUAAAUUCGUUAGUGUUGUGUCUUAUCUUUAUUCGUGUGCUGCAAUGACAAGUCAAAUUUCAUUACACCAUUUGGUGCAUGUGAUAAUAAAUGUCCUUUGUAUCCUUUGUACCCUUCUUCAGAC
Long non-coding RNA from Amblyraja radiata (thorny skate), 133 nucleotides. RefSeq lists it as uncharacterized. NCBI's taxonomy places the organism in Eukaryota, Metazoa, Chordata, Chondrichthyes, Rajiformes, Rajidae. The record is from RefSeq and is a predicted model, not a curated record. The transcript is spliced from 3 exons.